CCUAUAAGACUGGGAUAACUUCGGGAAACCGGAGCUAAUACCGGAUAACAUUUGGAACCGCAUGGUUCUAAAGUGAAAGAUGGUUUUGCUAUCACUUAUAGAUGGACCCGCGCCGUAUUAGCUAGUUGGUAAGGUAACGGCUUACCAAGGCGACGAUACGUAGCCGACCUGAGAGGGUGAUCGGCCACACUGGAACUGAGACACGGUCCAGACUCCUACGGGAGGCAGCAGUAGGGAAUCUUCCGCAAUGGGCGAAAGCCUGACGGAGCAACGCCGCGUGAGUGAUGAAGGGUUUCGGCUCGUAAAACUCUGUUAUUAGGGAAGAACAAAUGUGUAAGUAACUAUGCACAUCUUGACGGUACCUAAUCAGAAAGCCACGGCUAACUACGUGCCAGCAGCCGCGGUAAUACGUAGGUGGCAAGCGUUAUCCGGAAUUAUUGGGCGUAAAGCGCGCGUAGGCGGUUUCUUAAGUCUGAUGUGAAAGCCCACGGCUCAACCGUGGAGGGUCAUUGGAAACUGGGAAACUUGAGUGCAGAAGAGGAAAGUGGAAUUCCAUGUGUAGCGGUGAAAUGCGCAGAGAUAUGGAGGAACACCAGUGGCGAAGGCGACUUUCUGGUCUGUAACUGACGCUGAUGUGCGAAAGCGUGGGGAUCAAACAGGAUUAGAUACCCUGGUAGUCCACGCCGUAAACGAUGAGUGCUAAGUGUUAGGGGGUUUCCGCCCCU
Molecule: ribosomal RNA, 725 nt
Filed under: uncultured Staphylococcus sp.
Lineage: Bacteria; Bacillati; Bacillota; Bacilli; Caryophanales; Staphylococcaceae
Description: bacterial SSU rRNA
Rfam family: Bacterial small subunit ribosomal RNA
Source: RNAcentral